Long non-coding RNA from Sitodiplosis mosellana (orange wheat blossom midge), 1024 nucleotides. RefSeq lists it as uncharacterized. The transcript has 3 exons. NCBI's taxonomy places the organism in Eukaryota, Metazoa, Arthropoda, Insecta, Diptera, Cecidomyiidae. The record is from RefSeq and is a predicted model, not a curated record.
AACGUAAAGUGGCACAAGCUUGUACCAUUUUUCGCAUACACACGCGUAUGAACGCGACGAUUAGAUGCGGAAAAUGGGACAUUCUUGUGCCACUUUGCGUUACGACUGACUGUAGUUGACCGGGCAACCGCUUUGACGUGGCGCUGUCAACAAUGUUGCCCCAUUUAUUCACACUUUGGGGAUGACUGAGAUUAUGCUGAUUGCUGGAUAUACACUAUGUGAAAUACAAAAAUUUAAAAUGUAAACAAUAUGCUGUACUAUACAAGGACUUCAGUAAAGCAUUCGACAGAGUUUACUACAAAAGAUUGAUUCUGAAACUCAGAUCGUUCAACCUGCCACCUGCCAGACAAUCUUCUUGCUUACAUCGAGUCAUACCUGUCAAACAGAACGCAAUUCGUUAAGUAUGGGAGCAGCGAGUCUAACGAAUUCAACGUGUCAUCUGGCGCACCACAAGUAGAUGGAAUGGACGACGUGUUCAUUUCCUUCUUCGCUAAUGAUGUGAAGAUCGCCAAAGUCAUCCACUCGAGCACGGAUGCGGAAGUGCUACAGCGGGCCAUCGACACACUGAAGGUUUGGUGCGACGUAAACAAUUUGAACUUGAACCUUGACAAAUGUGCCGUCAAACCGACGUGCAAACGCUCAAAACAUUGUACUAUGCAUUGGUUCAGUCUCACCUCGAGUACUGCAACGUUGUAUGGCUACCGACUUAUGCCGUACACAUCGACAAAAUUGGGAGUCAAUCGUUGGCCAACGGAUACAGUACCAUUGACUACAACAAGCGACUUGAGGCGUUGAACAUGACAUCGUUGGAGCGUAGGAGAGUGAAUCAGGUUUCGGAAGAAGAGCUGUCAAUUUCUCCCAUUUACGAUACUAGCGCCACUGAGGUAUAUAGCAAAUCAAUGUAAAGUGGGGUUUUUUUCUAACUAAAAUACGCGGCAUUUUUGAAAUUUCGUACUAUUUCCGCACCUUGGAGUGAAUACAUCAAUUGUAUUCAUGUACGACAUCGUGAAUGGGAUCACAAACU